RNAcentral lists this small RNA (29 nucleotides) under Bombyx mori (domestic silkworm). Its description in RNAcentral is "ovarian small RNA-27742". Lineage: Eukaryota; Metazoa; Arthropoda; Insecta; Lepidoptera; Bombycidae. The record is from RNAcentral.
UCCUAUUCUGGUACUAGAUUGUUCGUUGC